Acanthochromis polyacanthus (spiny chromis) is the source of this 276-nucleotide long non-coding RNA. RefSeq lists it as uncharacterized. The transcript has 3 exons. The record is from RefSeq and is a predicted model, not a curated record. NCBI's taxonomy places the organism in Eukaryota, Metazoa, Chordata, Actinopteri, Pomacentridae.
GGGCCAAGGCCCGCAAACCUGGUUCUAUCGUUAAACGAAGACCAGUCUCACUUACGCUUACUUGGGAUAGAGGCAAGCCACAAGAUCCUUGGCCAGGCUGGAUACAGCUCUAGUGGGAGUGAAGAGAGUGACGACUUCAGAGGAUUUGAAGCUGACAGAAAAAAAGGAUCUGUAUUGUCUCAACAGAAUUCUUCCAAAGGUGAUGCUGUCCACACAAAAUCUAAACGACACAGCGAGAAGCUACCGCUUAAAACCGCAGCAAUGGAGGCAGCUAUC